RNAcentral lists this long non-coding RNA (517 nucleotides) under Gossypium barbadense (sea-island cotton). Its description in RNAcentral is "long non-coding RNA (GBAR_LNC019387)". The record is from RNAcentral. Lineage: Eukaryota; Viridiplantae; Streptophyta; Magnoliopsida; Malvales; Malvaceae.
CCAAAGCCCAUCAACUAUCCCACUUUCCUUUUCUCUUCUCACUCAAAGACCACCUAUCGAACAACACUCAGCCAGGUUCUCUCCUUCGCAGAUCCACAUCCGAUGUUCUUUGCUCAAGGACCCUUCCGAUCAGGUAUGCUCGCGAUUCUUCUCUCAUCGCCUUUCUAGCUAAGUUGUGAGCCACUAGAUUUGCAAAUCUAUAUGUAUGUUGAAAGGCUAUUUGGUGAAAAUAUUACUUUUGCUGCUAAAUGUUUCGUAUUAUACCCCCGACCAUUGAUUUAUCAAUCUUAUCUGAUUUACUUUUUGUAUUACUGAUAUUGCGUCUCCUUCAUCUGUUUUCCCAUGAACAUUGCUUGGAGGCACGUAAGGGCCUCUACUGCAAACAAAGAGGUCACCUCCCUGCGAACUAUUGUUUUGAAUGAGAUGACCUGUCCCGAAACAUUGCUAGCCAUCACCCCUGAGACUGAUUUUGGUCAAGAUUCAUCAAAAGUGGCGUCGAAAUUAAGUUUGAAAACGG